RNAcentral lists this ribosomal RNA (255 nucleotides) under uncultured bacterium. RNAcentral describes it as "partial 16S ribosomal RNA". It matches the Rfam family "Bacterial small subunit ribosomal RNA", at positions 524 to 776 of the family's 1533-position model. The record is from RNAcentral.
UACGGGGGGAGCAAGCGUUGUUCGGAUUUACUGGGCGUAAAGGGCGCGUAGGCGGUCGUGACAAGUCACUUGUGAAAUCUCCGGGCUUAACUCGGAACGGUCAAGUGAUACUGUCGGACUAGAGUACAGAAGGGGCAACUGGAAUUCUCGGUGUAGCGGUGAAAUGCGUAGAUAUCGAGAGGAACACCUGCGGCGAAGGCGGGUUGCUGGGCUGAUACUGACGAGUGAGGCGCGAAAGCUAGGGGAGCGAACGGG